Molecule: transfer RNA, 85 nt
Filed under: Felis catus (domestic cat)
Lineage: Eukaryota; Metazoa; Chordata; Mammalia; Carnivora; Felidae
Rfam family: tRNA
About the family: Transfer RNA (tRNA) molecules are approximately 80 nucleotides in length. Their secondary structure includes four short double-helical elements and three loops (D, anti-codon, and T loops).
Source: Rfam by way of RNAcentral
GCCUGGGUGGCUCAGCAGGUUGAGCAUCUGACUUCAGCUCAGGUCACGAUCUCACAGUUCGUGAGUUCAAGCCCCUCGUCAGGCU